Molecule: long non-coding RNA, 5036 nt
Organism: Stegostoma tigrinum
Lineage: Eukaryota; Metazoa; Chordata; Chondrichthyes; Orectolobiformes; Stegostomatidae
Exons: 2
Source: RefSeq, a predicted model, not a curated record
CCUCACAUUUUAUUAUCUUGGAUUCUCCAGCAUCUGCAGUUCCCAUUAUCUCUGAUACAGCGUUCAGUUUUUCUGUGCUUGGCAAUACUUGUUCUUGUCACUCGUUAUGCCCGAGUAAGCCAGGCUUGUUUUUUUGAAUUCAGUUUAGGCCAGACCAAUUGUCAAUUCAUCAAACUGCAAUUCAAUGGAAUUGCUACACUACCAAAGUAGGCCAUUCAGCUCAUUGAGCCCACAUGACUCUCUGAACAGCAUCCCACCCAGCCCUAACCCUGUUCCCUUAUCCUGUAAUUCUGCAAUUCCGAUGCCUAAUCCACCUAACCGACACAUCUCUGGACACCAUGGGCAACUUAGCCUGACUAACCCACCUAACCUGCACAUCUUUGGACUGUGGGAGGAAACCAGAUUACCCAGAGGAAACUCACGCAGAACACGCAAACUCCACAUGGACAGUCGCCUGAGGGUGGAAUCGAAUCCACAUCUCAGGUGCUGUGAGGCAGCAGUAUUAACCAUUAAGCCAAGUGCUUCAACAUAUCGUGUAAAUUGCCUUGUAGGUUCAUCCCAUGUGUCACCGCGCUUUCAAAAUAAACCCUACAGUCAGGUAAUUCAGAUGUGACUUGAUUCAUUAGUGUUUGGAAAUUGGCCGGGACAUUUGUUAAACCCAGAUGGCACGGUUCAACAUUGAUAUCACCCAUUUGCGCUUACAAAGGUCGAUAUUUGAGGAGCCUUUUGUGUUAAUGGCUAAAACCGCUUGUUCAGGAACCAUUCAGGUCGUGUUCCUAUGCUGAGCUCUCCUGAGCCCUCAACAACUGAUGCCAAUUAAAAGGACUUUCAAAAGAUUGUCACUGAGAAAGAUUUCCCUGAGGAAACUCAGGUAGUGCCGUUUUCUUUUGGAAUUCACCCUCUCCGCUCAAGUAAGUCAUUGCUCCAAAUCAAACUCACAAUGUGUCCCAGUAAUUUGAUUCUAAAACUGCAAAUAUUUUCUGAGACAGUUUCCUUGGUCUCAAGCAACAUAUUCUCCCAUUUCAUUUCACACUACAAAAAAAUGCUAAAGUCGUCUUUAUAUUUUAGGACAGUUCUCUCAAUUGGUGUUUUUGGUGAUAGUUUAGUUUUCUCAUGUGAUAACACAAUUUAGCUUCUCGACUAAGAAUUAUAAAGAGUUGAAAUACACAGCCAUCCAAUGGAUUGGAAUAAAGGUUAAUGGAACGGGUCUGCAGGAAGCAGAGGAGAUCGGAUUGAAAAUUCUUCUCAUUUAUGCAGUUUUUCACAACACUGAAGGUACAUUAUGUAUUCCUUUACAUUACAACAGAAUGUAAAACGAUCCUUUACUCACUAACGUGCUUGAAACCUUCUACACAGUCUGGCACAUUGCCAAUGUGAAUCCCAGAGGGUUGCUUGAUCACAUUGUCAAUUCGGAUAGAAUUUUGAUAAGCAUGGAUUCUGUAGACUUACAAUCUGGGAAGCAGGAGGAUUAUUUCAAACCCAGUGAGCAGAAUCUGGUCGGGGAGUCUGAUUGAUGUGGCCGUGGGGUGAGAAGCCCCAUAAAACCAAUCAUCAUGCGAGCAAGCAACUAUCUAUAUUGAUUAUGCUUUUGCCAAAUUGCUGGGCAGCAGUGAGGUGCCAAUUAAAACGGGAUUGCUAGAUGCCUUACUAAUGCAACUCACAUCUGCACCACUUACCAUGACCAGCAUCUUCUCUGGUGAACACACAUGGCAUGUGCAGAGACAAAAUGGUCAUGUUUAGUGGAGCGGUCUUCAGUGCAGUCCAUAGAGCACUCACCAAUUAAGAGCCCUGGCACAGUGAAUCGGGGCACCCUCGGACACCAGUCCAGGAGACUGACCAUGGUCAGUGACCUGCUCAGGGAGCUCUCAGUCGGGAUGGCCAGUGCCUCUGUAGUCCAGGGAGUGGGUCAAUCAAUUAGUCAGUGCAGAGGCGUGGUGGGUUGGUUAGUGAUUCGGAGGGUGGUGGACAUUUCCCUCAUUCUUGGCAAGGUAAUUGAGAUGAAACAUUGGGCAGGAUGUCUGCCUCCCUCUAAAUCACAAAUAAUUGGGAAAUAUUUAUCCUGUUAGUAAGGGAUCAAUGGUUAUGGCGAGAAGGCAGGAGAAUGGGGUUGAGAAGCUUGUCAGCAACGAUUGAACGGUGGAGCAGACUAGAUGGGCUGAAUGGUCUAAAUCUGCCCCAGUGUCUCAUGGGUCCAGCUACCUCAGCAACUAUGGUCUCAGUUCAAGCGUCCUGACUAAAGAACCAAUUAAUGCCUUUCAGUUGUCAAUUUGUGGCCAUUUAAGAGCCUUAAGCUGCCAAAUGCCUGAUGUGAGAAAUGUGGCAGCCUUCCCGAUAGUUAUUAACGGGCUAUCUGCUGGUCAGGUUAGGUCUUGCUGUGCCCCAAUCUGGGGCCAAUCGCAGGCACACAUAGUGUCAAGCGAGUUGGCACUGCAAACUACCACCAGGCCCUGGUCCCACCACCUUCCCUCAUGUCCCUCUGCCUUCAAUCAUCCCCAAAGAUAUCACUCCCUGUUUGCCUGAUCACUGCCAGCAGAUUGAUCCCUCAGUGGGUCAAUGCCUCUGAUUGUCUGACAGGUUCAAACGGGGUAGGGCAUCUCUGCCCUGAUAUCUGAUUGGCAGAGAGGCAGGUGGAUGGCUGUUUUAGGAUUUUGCUGAGUGGGUUUUUCCACUUUUGUCUCACUCACCGCACUCCAAACCACAACCCCACACCCCAUCUCCCACCCUCCCACACUUGGAUAAUCUGAUCGUCAGCUGUGUUUCUGGACUCAACAUUGUACAAAGGAGUCCAGGGCCCUGGAGAGAUUUACUGGGUUUAUACCAGUAAAGCUGGGCCUCUGUGACGUGGAUAGACUGCAGAAGUUGGGGAUAUUCGCAUCAGAGCAGAAGGGAUUAACAAGUCAUUUGGGACCACUCUUCAAAACCAUGAAGGGUAAAGGAGGGGAAACUGUGGCCGAGAUGGUAAUGAUGAGAGUGUGUUAAUUUGAGCCACUGGAUGAAUGUGCAGUUGUCAAGGGGGCUGGUCAGCUCAGCUAGUUGGACAGCUGGCUUGUGGUGCAAACUAAUGCCAAUGGCAUAGGUCAAGUUCUGCAUCAGCUGAGGUCACCAAGAAGGGAAACCUUCUCAAACUCACCCCUUACAUGGGGUGUAGUGACCCUCACAUCGAACCGCCACCAAUUUCCUCUCUCUCUCUGUCUCUCUCUCUCUCUUUCACGAGAGAGCAACCCUAUCUAUGGCCUGGUUAGCACCCCUCCAGCACUGUAAUCUGGAAAGUACUGUCUGAAAUGGUGAUAGAAGCAAAUUCAGUCCCAACAUUCGAAAGAUAAAAGUUCCCACGAGGAGGGAAAACCUGCGGGUAGGGGUGAAAGGAGCAGGUCAGUGUAAUGACCAAAGUGCCAAUGCAGGGGCAGUACACAGGCUACAACGGGUCAAGAGGACAGCUGACCACCACCUUCUCAAGAGCAACUCGGGAGAGGGCAAUAAAUGCUGACCCAGUCAAUGACUCCCGUGCCCUACCAGUGUGCAAUCAAAUAAAAAGCCUCCCCUAACGCUGUGUCACCCUGUGAGGAUGUUGUGCAGUCAGGUCCAUCAGUGUUUACCCCAUUUCAGCAAAGUCACCCUGUCCCCAUCAACUUCAACCUCUGACUCACUGUAACUAAUGCCUUCAACGAUCUCCGAGUAAAAUGUUUUUUAUUUACAGAAACAAUUGUUCCUGUCACUGUCCUUGGGGAAUUAGCGGAUACAUCGAAAAUGGAAUAAUUUUACAGAGCCAUGAUGUUUUUGUGAAUGUAGUUCCUCAAGUCAAGAGUUUUCCUGCACCUACAGAUCCAAAGGUUAAACCUGGAAACAUAUCUGCUGGUUGGUACUUUGUCAGGGCAGUGGAUGGGAAACUGGAAGAUAAACAAUAUGAAGAACAUGUGCUUGAAUUCCUGAGGGACUUGGAAGAGGACAACCAACCCUUUGAGCCAAGAUUUUUUGCUCUUAAUUUCUACAGCAGAAGUGGGCUAAUGGAAAUAGCUUUUGCUAAAACUUCCAAAUGAUUUCUUUUCUGUGACAUUCUGUUACCUUUACAGACGUAUAAAAGUAAAAUGUGCUUCGCUCUGUCUUAAACUACUUUAAUCAUGUGUGAAGUACAUAUCGGCUUUAACCUGGAGGAGGGUGCAUUAUUGUGGUCUCCUUAUCCAAGAACGGAAUUGCUUACUGUUGGGAUUUGGCGUCUGUGUGGAAAGUUCUUGGCAGGGAAUAACCUUUUGGUGAGAGGGAAACAUUAAACACAAACCAAAAAGAAAGAUUGUGCAACAAAGGUUGCGUUUAAGACGAAACAUUCACUUGUUGAGGCUUACCACAGUACACAGACUUUCAGGGCAGAACGGUUUUUCUUGCUAUCCAUUCGUGAAUACCUGACAUUCUUUGAACUUGAUCUGUUGUCUCAGAAAGUACUUUGAUGUUUUCGCUUCAGUCAGUUUAAUUUGAUCAUGCACACAAAACUCCCUUGCAUCUUCAACACUUCAACUUUAAUUUCUCAGUCUACUUCAACUCUUGUCACCACAGCUAUUUUCUGAAAGCCUCUCUACAGCCAAUGCUUAACACACAGUUCGAAGAACCUUGUGAAACAGAUUCCUUUCUUUCACAUUUUCCGAAGGCAGUUUCCUUGAUCCUGAACAGAGGGCUUUAACACAGAUCUAAUACACACAAUCUGAAUUUCUCAUGGAAUAUCCAUAGCCCAUCUGUGCAUCCCUUAUCGAAAAUCUCUGAGUCUAUGACAAUGAACCAUCAACUGAUAAUGCUCCUGCUCAAGUGCUCCUAUUAACUCCUACCUUUCUCUCUCAGCAGGAGCUCCUCACAGCCACAAUAUAGGCAGACUGAAUGUGUGAUUGAAGAACUGACUGAUUCCAAGAUCAUUCCUGUUACAGGGGGUUUAUUCACAUGUAUCCCAUGUGGAGGGAAGAAGCCAUUAUCUUCGAGCCAGUGUUUGUCUGUGUUUUUCUAAUUGCUGGGAAUAUUUCUCGCUGUGAAAUAAAGAGGGUGAUGAAUCACAA